CGCGGCCCGGGCGGCCUGGUUGAACCCCUCACCGCCGCAACCCGGACCCCGCGAAGCUGCCAGGAGGGGCUGGACGCUGGGACCCGCCUGGUGGCCAGUUUAUGGCACUGCAGUAGACUGCCGUCUCCAAUGCUGGGAAGCACAUUGAUUCCAGACAGACAGCUUGUUAUGAGGUGACAGUGAGCAUCGCACAGUGCUGUGUGCACAUGCACCUGAACCCUCUGAACUCCAAUUCAGGAAUUUACAAUUGCCUCAGCCUUGGUGGAAGACAAGAGUCCUGUCUCUGGCUGAGGAAAACUAAAAUGCCAGCCUGCAAGAUGCUUUUUGUCAUGCUGAGACUGAAGUAUCAGCAUGAAAGUGCAGUUAGGUCAAAAACUGAAGUUUUGGUCCACAACCAAGAAAUUUUCCUCUGUGAACAACUUGAUCGAGAACCGAAUUGUUCGAGAUGGAAGACGUUCGAGAAACAAGUUUAGUCCUGCUAAAACAACUAGAGGAGGAAGAGAGAACCAGGAACCAUCUAGCAGACAAAGAAUUCCUCUCUAUUCAGGACUCUAGGAAAAGACCCUCAGAACUGAGGCCUGAGCUCCCUGCACCCUGGCUACAACUGGUAAAACCCACAAGUAUAUAUUGAGCUAAUGGAUUCGUCUGCAGAGGGGAUUACCCAAAAGAUGGUUAGUGUGUGGCUGACAGAAAGUGGAACCAGGACGUACA
Molecule: long non-coding RNA, 711 nt
Organism: Myotis myotis
Lineage: Eukaryota; Metazoa; Chordata; Mammalia; Chiroptera; Vespertilionidae
Exons: 6
Source: RefSeq, a predicted model, not a curated record